AACGAACGCUGGCGGCAUGCCUAACACAUGCAAGUCGAACGAGACCUUCGGGUCUAGUGGCGCACGGGUGCGUAACGCGUGGGAACCUGCCCUUAGGUUCGGAAUAACUCCCCGAAAGGGGUGCUAAUACCGGAUAAUGUCUUCGGACCAAAGAUUUAUCGCCUUUGGAUGGGCCCGCGUUGGAUUAGCUAGUUGGUUGGGUAAAAGCCUACCAAGGCGACGAUCCAUAGCUGGUCUGAGAGGAUGAUCAGCCACACUGGGACUGAGAAACGGCCCAGACUCCUACGGGAGGCAGCAGUGGGGAAUAUUGAACAGUGGGCGAAAGCAUGAUCCAGCAAUGCCGCGUGAGUGAUGAAGGCCUGAGGGUUGUAAAGCUCUUUUACCCGGGAUGAUAAUGACAGUACCGGGAGAAUAAGCUCCGGCUAACUCCGUG
Molecule: ribosomal RNA, 433 nt
Filed under: uncultured bacterium
Lineage: Bacteria
Description: partial 16S ribosomal RNA
Rfam family: Bacterial small subunit ribosomal RNA
Source: RNAcentral